Pelobates cultripes (western spadefoot toad) is the source of this 264-nucleotide non-coding RNA. Lineage: Eukaryota; Metazoa; Chordata; Amphibia; Anura; Pelobatidae. The record is from the annotation of a GenBank genome assembly.
GAACUUCUCUUCACGUCAUCUUUACAUCUUCAAAGUGUGAAACCACCUCUGUACUAUCAGCCAUCUCAAGAUUAGAUAUGUUGUCUCGGGAAAUCUGCGAUGAUAUUAAAGUCCUAGCCCAUCUGUCAUGAAGGGGUUAAUCCCAGAGUGCUGCUGUGCCCAAUUCCAUACAAACACAGCUAAAUGUAAAUGCUCAUCACUUUGAAACAAAAUACUAUAAUAAUGAAGAGAUUUUUAAUUAGACAAGAACCUCUGAGCCAAAAC